GGUCGCAUAGUCUAGUGGUUAUGAUAUCUGCUUUACACGCAGAGGGUCGCAAGUUCGAGCCUUGCUGCGACCA
RNAcentral lists this transfer RNA (73 nucleotides) under Rhizoctonia solani. RNAcentral describes it as "tRNA-Val". It matches the Rfam family "tRNA". Rfam says of the family: Transfer RNA (tRNA) molecules are approximately 80 nucleotides in length. Their secondary structure includes four short double-helical elements and three loops (D, anti-codon, and T loops). Lineage: Eukaryota; Fungi; Basidiomycota; Agaricomycetes; Cantharellales; Ceratobasidiaceae. The record is from RNAcentral.